CGCCCUGAUGGCGAUCGGCGAGGCUGGGGAGCGGCCGCGGCACGGCAGGGACGGGCAGAGGAGUGCAGGAGUCAUUGAACAGUGAAUAGAGGUACUUGCUGCAUCCCUAGUAAGACCUGCAGUAUGCAGAGGUGUGGGAAGGUCAAUUACUUCUCUCCGCAUGAUGCCCUCAAAGGGAUCUGUGCUUCUUAUCUCAAUUAACUCACACAGAAAUGGAUUUGCCAGGCAAGUGAUAGAGGCUGCUUCCUAUUCCUUCUAAGUGUGACUGAACUAGAAAGAAAACUUCUGUUAAUGUCUUUGGGUGCAGUGCUGAACUCUUGAAUGAAAAAAAUGAGCAAAGCAUAGGCGAUGGAGCAGCUCAGGGAUAGGGGUGUAUUCUGCAUGGCAGCAGGACUGUAGCUGUGUAGCUGUGGGUGCCUGCUGGAGCCAUUACUCAUCCUGCAUGCCUUUCACAUCUUGGAGGCAUUUCAUGGUUUUUAUUUAGCCCUUGCAUGACCACAGUUCAGUUCAGCAGCUGCAUAACACCGCUGUCUAAAACAGGAUAUUAUGGACAGGUGUCCUGAAAAACUGGAGUUUGUUCUUAAUUUCUCUGUUGCAAUAUGUUCCAGCAAGGUCAAAGCCUGAGCAAUCUGCAUGCUGAGCCAACCUCUUACGAUCUGCUUUUUGUUUUUGACCAAGAGAUUACAAGGUGCAAAGACAGUGUUAAGGUGAGAUGUGCUCACCAAAUCGUUGCUGAUUUGCAUUUGGUGUAAGACUUCAAACACUGCCAGCCUUUUAUGUAGGUCAUGUCUUUGUUUUUGUGUCAUUGCAUGCUUGGGGCACUACAAGACAAAAAAACAGGUACUGUGAUUUUAUCUUUUUCCUCUACCCUCCUUUGCCCUAGGUACGUGACCUAGAUUAGUUUGCAAGCAAAAAUUAUGGAGCUCACAAAUGGGAAAGCUGCAGGUAGUCUACGCUUACUGCCUUUAUGGAAACACAGACCUAAAGUUCUCCAAAGGGGCUCACAAAUCCACAUGGGGUUCCUAAAUGCUGCAUCCUGCAUUCGGGUCAUUGGUUAGCUGAAAACAGUUCUGAAGUCACGUACAGGCAAGCAGUUUCCUUUUGGCUAGGUAGUAAAGAAAUAUCAUUGAUGUGUUUAUUCCAAGCUUUGUAAGGGAUAUAAAAGAAGAGCUCACCCAGAUGUGCUUAUUUGCCAGCUAUGAAGAAGAUCUGCACAGGAGUGAGGGACAUAGUAACAGCCCUUGAAGGACAGUGUCCUCUCCUUUUGUGGAGCCCACCAAGUGAUUGGUCCUCACACUGCUGCCAUAACCAAGGAGCUCCUCUGCAGUCUUGAUCACUGGUCAGCCUGGCAUGCACUGCGGUAACAUAUGAACCUGCCCCCAUCCUUGCUCAGCUCCAUCACAUGCACUGCAGGUAGCCCCUGCAGCCCAGCUGGACUCAGCAGGGCCCUGAGGAAUGAAUCCAUGCAGGUUGGUUGCUCUCCAUAGUCAUGCCUGCCCUUUAUCCUUCAGCAGGAACUGAAGGGUGAUUGUUUAGAGAAUCUUUUGCAAAGCAGGGUGUGAUUGCCUGUAGCUGAGACUUGAUUUCCAGAAAGGGGAAGGUGCUCCAGAGCUCUCUUGCAAGCCUGUAUCUAAACCUCAUUCAUGAGAGAAGCCUGGGAGACUUUGCUCCAGUUUCACAAUGAGGACAAAACACACAACAACCAUUUUUCAGGGAGGGAACAAAAUUAAGUGGGGAGGAAUUGACAGCCCAGGAGCCUGGAUGUAGUGCUAGACUUUAUCCAGCCCUAGUUAGCAUAUAAAAACACAAGGUAUGUAACUGAGACAGCAUACAGCAAACUUUUAAAAGUGGCUGCUCUCACAAACAUUUCUGAUGUGCCAAACUGCUGAUGACUUCAAAGGCAACAUCUCAUACGCCACCAUACAAGAAAGCAAACUUUCCAGGGCUGUAGGAUAUGUCCUUCACCCAACAGCAGCACAAUGUUCUGCAUUCUGCAGGCCUACGUCAUGCUCUCACCCUGCUGUCCCCUGCCCCUGUGGUUUGCUUCAGCUGUGGAAACAGGAACUGCUGAGUCAGCGUGCUGGUGAAACUCACACUGCUCUCAUGGGGAGAGGGCUGCAGCGAGGGGGCUGGCAGCAGCUCACAGCCUGCAGGAAAACAAGUACUUACAUUCUCUUACGGUGGCCUGAAAAAAUAAAUAAUCCCUUUGCUUAAAAACUCUCAGACUGCAAAGAGGUAGCAGAACCCGAAGUGUAAGUGUGGGGGGAAUGAUCAGAUCUGGCAGAUGCCUGCUCACAAUCAAGCAUUUAGAGUUUGGGAAAUGUCAUUUUUCUGUUUGCUCUGUUAACAGCUCAGUUAUGCUUUGAGCAGCCAAGAUGCAGCUGGCUGAACAGACAGAACAAGGCCACCACAUUUGACUCAUCUGCCUGGUGCCGAUAGAGAGCCGCAGCCCGUUCUGAUUACGGACUCAUGCAGAGGUGAAAUUACUCCCUUGGAACCAGUACAAGGUGCACCACAAGUGGAAGAAGCUGCUGGAAUCCAUCUGGAGUAGACUGCUAAUCGGGAGUGCUUUGAGGUGACUUGUAAGCAAAGGCAAUGCCGUGACAGCCUUCAGAAGCCACGGCCUUUGAUUUAUUUUGGGAAUGCGACUUCUGAAAUCCUCUGAAAGUGAUAUCAGUAAAGUCUAGAUGACACAAACAGCUGGCUCCACUUCCGAUGGGAGCACUUGCCAGUAACCGAAGACCCUCCUUGUAUGCGCAGAAGGAAGCAGAGCCCAGAGGCACUGAAACCAUGCCAGCCCUGCUGAAGGUAGCACUUGAUCUGCAGAGGAGCCACCGGGAACAUGAGACUCCAACCGGAGCCAUUUACACGCUGCUGGAACGUGGCCACAGGAACAAACACUGUGGUGUAAAUUCUGCCUGGGUGAAGGAGAGGCCGGAUUAUUGUCCCACAGAGGUCCCUUCCCACCUGCAGCCUGUCACCACUGGGCAUCCGCUGCUAAACAGCAAUAAGAAAGGUGAAGAGCUGAUCCUGAGUUAUCCAUUUAAAAGCUGUGCGAGCUGCAAAAAUUGAAAUGAAAGAGGGGGUUAAUUGCACUGAACGUGCUCAGAGGAGGCAGAGCUAGGCUUUCCUGUGGAAAACUGCCAUAUGUGACUCUGCACGCAUUUAUCCUUCCUUUGACUUGUAGUGUGGAACAAGUCAGUAAUCACAGCAGCUCAUGAUGUGUUGUCUCACUUGCAGGGACUGCUUGUAGCAUACAUGGAUUGACACAAAUCCUUAUCAAAACUGGAAUUAUUAUCUGCAAGUCACACUUCAGGUUUCUCAAAUAAAACUACGUUUGAAUUCUGCAGCUGUGCUACCUUCUGGCUUUUCAGAAGCAAGGAAGGCCACUUAUCCCUGUGGGAAGAUGCCCAAGCAGAGGACAGGAGGAAUGUGUUAUGGAAUUGCUUACAGUUCUGGUUACAGUUCUGCUUACAAACUGCUUUGCUACUUGUGCGCCAUCUCUGUGGCUUCACACACCCUGUUAAGAAAACCACUUUUCUUUC
This is a long non-coding RNA of Centrocercus urophasianus (Greater sage-grouse), 3545 nucleotides long. RefSeq lists it as uncharacterized. The transcript is spliced from 2 exons. The record is from RefSeq and is a predicted model, not a curated record. NCBI's taxonomy places the organism in Eukaryota, Metazoa, Chordata, Aves, Galliformes, Phasianidae.